This is a long non-coding RNA of Odocoileus virginianus texanus, 455 nucleotides long. RefSeq lists it as uncharacterized. The record is from RefSeq and is a predicted model, not a curated record. NCBI's taxonomy places the organism in Eukaryota, Metazoa, Chordata, Mammalia, Artiodactyla, Cervidae.
AAGUCAUAGGAGCAGAUCCAGUGUGAAAUCAUAACUAACUCUUCCUGGUUACAGUACCAGCAGAGGUGUCUUGGCCUCGCCCACCUCCUUGGAGAGUCCCAAGGAAUUGGGGAGGAAUGAGAGAUGAACGCCUUCUUGCAGAUCAAGGUCACGUUUUCCUGCCUUCAUCAACAAAUACUGAAACCCUCAGCAGGUGGAAGAAGUUAACUAUGUGAUGACCAUAUUGUAGCCAUGACGCAAACUGCCUCAUUUCCAAGACAUGACCUCAAAGAAAUGGGGACAAAGUGAUCCUGGAACUGAAGACUAACUGUUCUUAAAACAAUCAGGAUGAUGCUGAUCAGACCAAGGCCAUGACCAAAUUAAAGAUAACUGUCAGAGCUGACUGUGCCGUUUCUGUACAUAACUCCACCUAUAAAAGAUCUUAUCCAUUGAUUGUUGGGGGCAGGGUGAGUUGG